RNAcentral lists this ribosomal RNA (253 nucleotides) under uncultured bacterium. RNAcentral describes it as "partial 16S ribosomal RNA". It matches the Rfam family "Bacterial small subunit ribosomal RNA", at positions 524 to 776 of the family's 1533-position model. The record is from RNAcentral.
UACAGGGGGUGCAAACGUUGCUCGGAAUUAUUGGGCGUAAAGCGCGCGUAGGCGGCUACCUAAGUCGGAUGUGAAAGCCCCUGGCUCAACUGGGGAAGUGCACCCGAAACUGAGUAGCUAGAGUGCAAAAGAGGGUCGCGGAAUUCCCGGUGUAGAGGUGAAAUUCGCAGAUAUCAGGAGGAACACCGGUGGCGAAGGCGGGUCUCUGGGCCGAUACUGACGCUGAGGAGCGAAAGCGUGGGGAGCGAACAGG